RNAcentral lists this ribosomal RNA (497 nucleotides) under uncultured bacterium. RNAcentral describes it as "partial 16S ribosomal RNA". It matches the Rfam family "Bacterial small subunit ribosomal RNA", at positions 28 to 507 of the family's 1533-position model. The record is from RNAcentral.
GAUGAACGCUGGCGGCGUGCCUAAUACAUGCAAGUCGAGCGAACAGAUAAGGAGCUUGCUCCUUUGACGUUAGCGGCGGACGGGUGAGUAACACGUGGGUAACCUACCUAUAAGACUGGGAUAACUUCGGGAAACCGGAGCUAAUACCGGAUAACAUUUGGAACCGCAUGGUUCUAAAGUGAAAGAUGGUUUUGCUAUCACUUAUAGAUGGACCCGCGCCGUAUUAGCUAGUUGGUAAGGUAACGGCUUACCAAGGCAACGAUACGUAGCCGACCUGAGAGGGUGAUCGGCCACACUGGAACUGAGACACGGUCCAGACUCCUACGGGAGGCAGCAGUAGGGAAUCUUCCGCAAAGGGCGAAAGCCUGACGGAGCAACGCCGCGUGAGUGAUGAAGGGUUUCGGAUCGUAAAACUCUGUUAUUAGGGAAGAACAAAUGUGUAAGUAACUGUGCACGUCUUGACGGUACCUAAUCAGAAAGCCACGGCUAACUACGUG